CAGGGCGGGAACGGGCUGCGGGAGGCUGCUGGGGCCGGGAGCGCCGGGACAGGUGCGUGAUCGCCCUUUC
Molecule: microRNA precursor, 70 nt
Organism: Bos taurus (domestic cattle)
Lineage: Eukaryota; Metazoa; Chordata; Mammalia; Artiodactyla; Bovidae
Source: Ensembl